This 274-nucleotide ribosomal RNA is filed under the name uncultured bacterium. RNAcentral's name for it is "partial 16S ribosomal RNA". It matches the Rfam family "Bacterial small subunit ribosomal RNA", at positions 523 to 796 of the family's 1533-position model. The record is from RNAcentral.
AUACGGAGGGUGCAAGCGUUACUCGGAAUCACUGGGCGUAAAGCGCGCGCAGGCGGGCUGAUAAGUUGGAUGUGAAAGCCUACGGCUCAACCGUAGAACUGCAUCCAAAACUGUCAGUCUAGAGUCUGCGAGGGGAAGAUGGAAUUAGUUGUGUAGGGGUAAAAUCCGUAGAGAUAACUAGGAAUACCAAAAGCGAAGGCGAUCUUCUGGAACAGUACUGACGCUGAGGCGCGAAAGCGUGGGGAGCAAACAGAAUUAGAUACCCUAGUAGUCC